AUGCCUGUUCGAAAUGUGAAUUAUACUAUUUUUUCUUGUGGGAAUUGAAAUGAAAAACACGAGAUACUUUUUCUAGAAAUAUGGACUAAUGGAAGUUUAACCACUAAGGAAUCACUUUAUGAGGCUUCUCGUAAUUUCUUUAACAUACCACUGAACCACUUUUUAUUAACAUAA
RNAcentral lists this ribosomal RNA (174 nucleotides) under Triticum aestivum (bread wheat). Its description in RNAcentral is "partial small subunit ribosomal RNA". Lineage: Eukaryota; Viridiplantae; Streptophyta; Magnoliopsida; Poales; Poaceae. The record is from RNAcentral.